Long non-coding RNA from Carassius auratus (goldfish), 871 nucleotides. RefSeq lists it as uncharacterized. The transcript is spliced from 3 exons. The record is from RefSeq and is a predicted model, not a curated record. NCBI's taxonomy places the organism in Eukaryota, Metazoa, Chordata, Actinopteri, Cypriniformes, Cyprinidae.
GUCUCUCCAACGGCUUGCACACAUGCAACCUAGAACAUAAUGGAAAACAAUGAUCGCUAAUUACAAAUAUAUCCACGUACUUACUUUAGAUGACCUUAUCUUAGGAGUUUUAUCUCUCAACAGGAAGCAGUGAAAUGUGUGAAGUGACCUCACUGGUGCUUUUAAUAACGUUCGGCGUUUCCUUUGAAAACAGUUAAUCACCAAACAAACAAACAAUGAUCAUCAGAGGAUAUCUGGCAUUGAAUGAUCUACUUUAUGCAAUAACAAUAACGUAAAAACAGUAAUAUGACUGUGAAACUGAAAUGUUUUUGCUGAAGUUUGUUUCUCUCUGUCCAAACCAGAGGAAGUGUCACCUCCAGCUGUUUAUCUCACUUGUGUCUCGUCUGUGUCUGACACAGGAGACGCACCACAGCUCCAGUGGUUUCAAACAGGUCCUUUUCAAAAGCUGCUUGGGAAUAAAAAAGGGUUUUCAUCAAGACGAGAUGAAAUAAGCUUUAUGCAUCUAAAAAUGCCUCACAAUGCAUUGAUGGAAUUUCCAACGGUCUUCAUAUUCGACGAUAUAUUUCAUACACUACAUUUCUGUAUAUAUCACAUUUGCUUAUGGGGCUUAUCAGUUUUAUUGAGAUACAAUCAUCUACAAUUCAGUUAUGUGGAAAUACUGUAAAACUGAAAACCCUCCCGUGCAGCUCCACUCUUAGAAGAAUGAAAAUUAACCUGGCAACCUUGACUGAAAGAUGCAUUGAUGACCUCAUCAGUUCCUUUUUCAACCUUUUUCUAGAUAGCAAUGACAUUAUUAUUAUUGUUUUUAUUCAUAGAAUACAUUACUAAUAUAAUUUGACUAUAUAAACAGAACUGUUUAAUACAUAAACCA